Molecule: ribosomal RNA, 253 nt
Filed under: uncultured bacterium
Lineage: Bacteria
Description: partial 16S ribosomal RNA
Rfam family: Bacterial small subunit ribosomal RNA
Source: RNAcentral
UACGUAGGGGGCAAGCGUUGUCCGGAUUUCUUGGGCGUAAAGAGCGUGUAGGCGGCCAUACAGGUCAGCUGUGAAAACUCGAGGCUCAACCUCGAGACGUCGGUUGAAACCGUGUGGCUAGAGUCCGGAAGAGGAGAGUGGAAUUCCCGGUGUAGCGGUGAAAUGCGCAGAUAUCGGGAAGAACACCCGUGGCGAAGGCGGCUCUCUGGGACGGUACUGACGCUGAGACGCGAAAGCGUGGGGAGCGAACAGG